CUACCUAUAUGAUCUUGGAGUUGAUUUAAAAUAUAAUAUUCACUUGGAGAAAGUGGAGAUAGUUAUAUGUCAAGAGAAGACUCACCAUCGGAAAGAAGAUGAUAGUAAUCUUCUCGUUUUGCACACCUCUAUAAUACUAGUACAUAGAUACCAGUAACACUCGUAGCACACACGAUGCGUGUCAGAAAAAAAUAUCCACAAAAAACAAAUUGAAUUUAUAAAUAAACGGAAUUGAUAAUUAGAAUUGAUAAGUUGGCACGUAGGACCCUAUUGGCCAAUUGACCAACUUACCAAUUUUUGAAUUUCAUACUAACCACUACCUAAACAAAACACUAAUAACAAACAAAUUGAAUUUUAGACUGAAAACAACAAACAAAAUCUGGAAAACCAAGACAGGUCCCCAAAUUGUGUUGCCUUUUUUCCUUCUUUUCUUUUUU
RNAcentral lists this long non-coding RNA (437 nucleotides) under Panax ginseng (ginseng). RNAcentral's name for it is "long non-coding RNA (PGIN_LNC019194)". The record is from RNAcentral. Lineage: Eukaryota; Viridiplantae; Streptophyta; Magnoliopsida; Apiales; Araliaceae.